Long non-coding RNA from Oreochromis aureus, 2364 nucleotides. RefSeq lists it as uncharacterized. The record is from RefSeq and is a predicted model, not a curated record. NCBI's taxonomy places the organism in Eukaryota, Metazoa, Chordata, Actinopteri, Cichliformes, Cichlidae. The transcript is spliced from 4 exons.
GCUGGCAGUCUGUUAUUGUCACAUCUUUGCCCACAGCGGUUCUAGUGAGCAUCGGCUUGCUGUUCAUUUAGUUUCUCAGUCAUGGACAAAACUGUGCUGCUCCUGCUGUACCUGCAGGUUGUUCUGCUCAUCACUGCCUUUCCUUCGGACGCAGCUGGUCAAGUUGUAGUGAAAGGUCCAGAUCAGGUAAAAAGAUCCGCAACAGCAAUCAAACAGGUGGCAAACAGGACGGUCAACCCAUCAAAGAAAAAAAUACAGGCGAGAAAUUGUUCCUGGAGACCUGGAGCGUGCGGCCCAUUCUUUCGUAUUAAAGAAAACCAGGGGUGAUUCUAGGAUCAGAGCUUUGGGGGUGCUGAGCACCCAGAGAGCUGCCCAUCCAAUCAAGGGCCAGUUUACCCAUCAUACAUUGCUGCAACCAGAAACUCCUUCCUGCAUUUUUCCAUUGACCUGGGUGCUUCAAUAAUCGACGCAUAUAAACUAUCACAACAACAGAUUCUCUGCAAACAUGUUGCAACAUUGCAGUUGGUGCAGCAGUCACCUCGCAUACAUGACCAAAAUAGACAGAUGCUAAAUUUGAGCCAGCUCACUAGAUUUCCCUGAGAAGUCAGAAAUUAAACACAAAUAACAUUUAACCACUAAAACUAAUUUCGGAAGUAAAUAUAAGGCGGAGUAUUAGGGCCACAUUAGGAAAAUAAAAUAUUUUGAUCAAUUUGAGAAUAAAGUCAAAAUUUCAAGAUUAAAUUUGAAAAUCUAUUUUGAGCAAAGCAUCGAAAUGUUGUUGUUUCAAGACAAACUGCCACGUUUCUUAUACCCUCUACAAAAUGCCUUGUGUAGAUGAAUUAGCCAUUUCAAAUUGUACAAAUCCACUCUUCCAAGUUUGUGUUUUUCCGUCUGACCAGAUGCAGCUUUCUGCACCAUCAUUUCAACGUCCUUUUACUUAUCACCAUAAUAUGUUUGUGUGCUAAAAGAGAAAUCAUUUCCUUCCUUGUUACUUAAGCCAAUUCUGAAGUGCAAUUUCACUCAGAGGGUACAGCAACCAUGGCUGAUUGUCUUGAAACAAAAUAGAAUUACAAUGUUAUUCUCAAAAUGAUCAUUAAUAUUAUUUUUUUAUCUUUAUGUGGUCCUAAUACUACUUUGUAUAAAUAACCUUGGCAUCCUAUUUUUUUUAAAAAUCCUAAAGCACUUAACUGUUUUCAGUUUUUUUUAGUAAAACUAUGAAUUUGAAAAAUCGUAGAUAACAACAAUAAUUAUUUUUAUGUUAUAAAAAUGUAUAAACAUUGCAUGUUGGAGGAUUAACCACAGGAACAUAAAAAGUGUUUUUGCUAAUUACCAGUACUGUGUAUUUAGGCCAGCUGUGGUGUAAACCUUCCACUGGAUAGUAAUAAUAAUUUUGUUAAGUACUGCAUGUGCUGAGUAUAAACUGGACUAAUAAAAUAUUUAAUGCACUUCACAUUUGUGUGAAUUAGACUGAUAUUCUGAAAAGAAGCUGUGUAAUAAAUUGUAAGAUUAUCAGAUCAACUCAGAGCAAAGAGGCGGGAAAGGAAAUCUCCACCAAGGUCUAAAAAUUCCUCGAAUUAAAUUGUGCUGAAGAAAAGCAGCCUGAGAAAAUUGGUGUAAAAGACCUUAAAGGUAUACUGGUUACACAGUGCCUUACUUACUUAUAUGUUCUUCAUUUUGUUUUCAUAGCCAUACUUUAUAUUUUCAUCAAUGGUAGAAAUAGUUCAUAAUCUGAAACACAACAUAUCUGUCAAACAUGGUGGAGGCAAUGGUAUGACAUUGGAACUGGUGGAACUGGGUCAUUAGUGUUUAUUGAUGAUGUGACUGUGGAUAGAAGAAGCAGUAUGAACUCUGAAGUGUACAGGGCUGAUCUAUCUACUCAGAUUCAGCCAAACGCUGCAACUGCAAAAGCAAAAAAAUGAGACAUAGUUCCCAUUCCCAAUGGCCAAGUGAGUCACCUAAUAUCAGUCCAACAGAGGAGGCUUUUCAAUUAAUAAAUAAAAUACAAAACUGGAUGCAGAGAAACUCACAAACAAACAGCAUCUAAAGGUAACCACAGUAAAGGCCCAGCAGAGCAUCUCAGGGAAGGAAACAACAUUUUGUGAUGAGUUUUAGGCAUCAAGCAGUCAUUCAUUUCAAAGGAUUAAAAUAACCUUCAUGUUUAAAUUAGGUUGGUUUGUGUAAUUAAUGUUGCGACUCUGAAAAUGGCAAAGUAUAAAAAUGACUGUAAUUCUUGUAAUUUUUGGAGGACUGCACACAAGUGCGUCUCCGUGGUCUCUGCACAAUUUUAAUUUCCACAAUCCCUCUUUCUGUCUAGACCAAGAUCUACUCAAAUGGAAACCAAAAAUAAAAGAAUAUCUGCAAUAA